Molecule: ribosomal RNA, 1017 nt
Filed under: Triticum aestivum (bread wheat)
Lineage: Eukaryota; Viridiplantae; Streptophyta; Magnoliopsida; Poales; Poaceae
Description: partial small subunit ribosomal RNA
Source: RNAcentral
AUGGCCGCAACAUUGCUGAAAAUUUCAUCUAUGCUGCGGAUAUUCUCAGUACGUGUCACUCACGUAAAGCUUCGACUAUGGUCACUAUCCUCCUUUCCACUAGUAUACCUAGGGCUUCCACUAUCUCCUACCAAAUUGCCCUUGAUAGCUUUCGACCCGAUCAUAGACAACUUUCAGAAAUUCCUCUUUGGAUGGGUGGCGUGCCUUCUCUCACAGGGCGCCAGGCUCACCCUGCUGACUGCGGUCCUCGACUCCCUAACAGUUUAUUUUAUGUCCGUUUUCAGACUACCAAAAUCGAUCCUAGCUAAACUUGACGCCAUUCGGAGGGUGUUCUUCUGGUCUAACGAGUCUACCUGUACUGGGGCGAGCUGCCUAGUUGCAUGGAAAAACGUUUGCAAACCAAAAGAUUAUGGUGGUCUAGGCAUUAAAAAUCUUGAAAUUCAGAACCGCUGCUUGCUCAUGAAAUUCUCCUCCAAAAUUCUACAACACCCAAACGUCCCGUGGACCUUGUGGUAUAACCACCAACACCCUCUUGGCAUUGCUACAAAAACUACACGACCCUCCUUUUUAUGGAAGAUUAUCAACAACAACUUGCCACUGCUAAUUGAACACUCCUUCGUGAUCACAUAUAAUGGUCUCUCCACCUUCUUCUGGCUUGAUAAAUGGCUUCUCCACUCACCACUACAAAAAGUUUUCCCAAACCUAUACUCACACUCCAUUGAUGACAAGGUGUUAGUGGCUACUGUUUGGCAAACCAGCUUAUUGACGAACCUGCGGAACCGUCUGUCUAAUGUUGCGGCUCGCGAGUUGGAUUGGGUGUUGUUGUUGUUGCAGGACUUUCAGCAGGUGGACCAACCGGACGAACGGUCUCUCACCCAUGGCCUGUCGUUCUCUGCCAAGAAUGCCUACUCCUCCAUAGUAGCUGAAGAUUCAACCGACCCACACCAUGAUCUAGUUUGGGCCUCCAAAUUCCCAAUCAAAGUCAAGGUCUUCGCAUGGCUCCUCCUCCGUGAUUGA